CCAGCAUACGCGGUAAUUUCGGCUCCAAUAGCGUCUAUUAAAGUUGUUGUAGUUAAAACGCUCAUAGUCGGGUGUGGAGUGUGUGGGGGUGUGGGUGUCGUGAGACAAACCAGCUUACACGCAUGUUCUGACAGCAAUGUCGGGGUUACUUUGAGGAAAUUAGGGUGUUCAAGGCAGGCGUGUGCUUGGAUAUCGCAGCAUGGAAUAACGGAGUAGGAUUCGCUUCUUAUUUUGUUGGUUUGGGGGAGUGAGUAAUGAUUAAUAGGGGCAGUUGGGGGCAUUGGUAUUUGGUAGUCAGAGGUGAAAUUCUUGGAUUUACCAAAGACUAACUGGUGCGAAAGCGUUUGCCAAGGAUGUUUUCAUUGAUCAAGAACGAAAGU
This 380-nucleotide ribosomal RNA is filed under the name uncultured eukaryote. RNAcentral describes it as "SSU rRNA". It matches the Rfam family "Eukaryotic small subunit ribosomal RNA", at positions 567 to 990 of the family's 1831-position model. The record is from RNAcentral.